RNAcentral lists this ribosomal RNA (195 nucleotides) under uncultured Geobacter sp. RNAcentral describes it as "partial 16S ribosomal RNA". It matches the Rfam family "Bacterial small subunit ribosomal RNA", at positions 338 to 524 of the family's 1533-position model. Lineage: Bacteria; Pseudomonadati; Thermodesulfobacteriota; Desulfuromonadia; Geobacterales; Geobacteraceae. The record is from RNAcentral.
CCUACGGGAGGCAGCAGUGGGGAAUUUUGCGCAAUGGGGGAAACCCUGACGCAGCAACGCCGCGUGAGUGAUGAAGGCCUUCGGGUCGUAAAGCUCUGUCGGAAGGGAAGAAAUGGCGUAGUGUUAAUACCAUUGUGUCUGGACGGACCCUUCAAAGGAAGCACCGGUUAAUUCCGGGCCACCGCCCGCGGUAAU